Molecule: transfer RNA, 104 nt
Filed under: Promethearchaeota archaeon
Lineage: Archaea; Promethearchaeati; Promethearchaeota
Description: Candidatus Lokiarchaeota archaeon (permafrost metagenome) tRNA-Thr
Rfam family: tRNA
About the family: Transfer RNA (tRNA) molecules are approximately 80 nucleotides in length. Their secondary structure includes four short double-helical elements and three loops (D, anti-codon, and T loops). Further hydrogen bonds mediate the characteristic L-shaped molecular structure. tRNAs have two regions of fundamental functional importance: the anti-codon, which is responsible for specific mRNA codon recognition, and the 3' end, to which the tRNAs corresponding amino acid is attached (by aminoacyl-tRNA synthetases). tRNAs cope with the degeneracy of the genetic code in two manners: having more than one tRNA (with a specific anti-codon) for a particular amino acid; and 'wobble' base-pairing, i.e. permitting non-standard base-pairing at the 3rd anti-codon position.
Source: RNAcentral
GCCUCUGUGGCUUAGCUGGUAGAGCGUUUGACUUGUAAUCAGACGAUCGUGGGUUCAAAGGAUAUAGAUCAGUGAGAUCUAUUCUGAAAAUCCCACCAGAGGCU